Molecule: transfer RNA, 76 nt
Filed under: uncultured phage cr18_1
Lineage: Duplodnaviria; Heunggongvirae; Uroviricota; Caudoviricetes; Crassvirales; Steigviridae
Description: tRNA-Phe
Rfam family: tRNA
About the family: Transfer RNA (tRNA) molecules are approximately 80 nucleotides in length. Their secondary structure includes four short double-helical elements and three loops (D, anti-codon, and T loops). Further hydrogen bonds mediate the characteristic L-shaped molecular structure. tRNAs have two regions of fundamental functional importance: the anti-codon, which is responsible for specific mRNA codon recognition, and the 3' end, to which the tRNAs corresponding amino acid is attached (by aminoacyl-tRNA synthetases). tRNAs cope with the degeneracy of the genetic code in two manners: having more than one tRNA (with a specific anti-codon) for a particular amino acid; and 'wobble' base-pairing, i.e. permitting non-standard base-pairing at the 3rd anti-codon position.
Source: RNAcentral
GGGUACUUGGUGUAGGUGGUUGUUGCACGUGGGUCUGAAAAACCCAAGGCUCUGAUUCGAUUUCAGAAGUUCCCAC